Molecule: ribosomal RNA, 253 nt
Filed under: uncultured bacterium
Lineage: Bacteria
Description: partial 16S ribosomal RNA
Rfam family: Bacterial small subunit ribosomal RNA
Source: RNAcentral
UACAGAGGUCCCAAGCGUUGUUCGGAUUCACUGGGCGUAAAGGGUGCGUAGGUUGCUAUGUAAGUCUGGCGUGAAAUCUUCAAGCUCAACUUGGAAAUGGCGUCGGAAACUGCAUGGCUAGAGGGAUGAAUGGGAAAUUGGAAUACUUGGUGUAGCAGUGAAAUGCGUAGAUAUCAAGUGGAACAUCAGUGGCGAAAGCGAAUUUCUUGGCAUUCCCUGACACUGAGGCACGAAAGCCAGGGGAGCAAACGGG